Papaver somniferum (opium poppy) is the source of this 1949-nucleotide long non-coding RNA. RefSeq lists it as uncharacterized. The record is from RefSeq and is a predicted model, not a curated record. NCBI's taxonomy places the organism in Eukaryota, Viridiplantae, Streptophyta, Magnoliopsida, Ranunculales, Papaveraceae. The transcript has 2 exons.
UUUAUCAAAUUGAAAUUAGAACUUUGUUUUUAGGCUGUGUUCUUCGUGAACCAGAGAGACUUGAUUCACGAGAAUCAAGAGAGAUUCAUCCUCAAAUUAUUUACCCAACCUUGUCAUUGUACUUGGUACAUGACAAUUGGUAUCUAGAGCCGUUUCGAUCCAUGUAGUUACCGAAAGCUACACCACUGCAGCUGAAAGCUUUGGAGAAUGAAGAUAAAGCAAGACAGGAAUUAUAUAAGUUUUAUGACUUAUAUCGGUUUCAUUUUGAAGAGAAUAAUUCUCAAACUCGAGAAUACUAUCUUCAGAAGUUUGGAAAGCUCAUGGAUAGAGCAAGGCAGAAGUAUAUAUUGAUACUUUUCAUUCGGGGUACUACAUCGAUUCCUCCUGCUGUCGGUGAAGAAGAAGAUGAUUCUCUAGACGAGUUGAUUCCUUCGUUUUUAUUCGAUGAAGAAGGGGAUGACUCAAAUAAUGAGUUGACUUCUCAAAUUGCAGAGAUUACAAAAACUAGAGUUCAAUCAAUUUCUUCUGCUGUUGACAAGGAAACCGAUUAUCAAAGUUGUCGUGAUGAUAUAACAAGGAAAAAUCAGAUCGAAUUUUAUUAUAUGCCAGCAAAUCCGCUCUUUCACCAACUGACUGGGGACACGACUUCAACUGGUAAUUUUAUAUUAUUCCAUUACCAUCCUCUUAUGAUGCCUCCUUCGUUAAUCAGAAGUGAUUUCAGACUUUUAAGAAGGGCGUUAUGUUUGCAUUAUUGAAAACUUGCACAUGUUCUCUAUGGAGUUCUUACUAUUCUAGAGGAAGUUGAAAUGAAUACAGAUCUAAAUGAGCUAAUGCUGUUAGUUUCCUUGUGGUGGAAAUAUGCACAUAUCAUAUUUCCACCAUAUGAGCGGAGAUGUAAGAUAUAUAUUCGAAUGUUGUUUGAUCGAGGUAACAGGUAUGUUCCUGGAUUAUUAGCGAGCUACUUGGCAAGUUAUAGCAGGGCAAAAGUUCUCUUAAGAAUGAGAGCAGAUCAUCUCAAAACUGUUGAAUCCGAUUUCCCAAUUGCACUAUUGUUGGUGGUCUUACUGAAAUGGAAGGGUGCAACAAAUGGUGAUGCUCAUCUCAGUGGAAUGCUUAUGUGUAAUUAUGGUCAUGUUGAGACCUUUGAUGGCACGACAACAAGAUCAAUUUUCAUGGAAUUCGUUACUUCCGUUUUUCUCCUAGUAAUCACAGGUGUAGUGAGAAUAUGUAUCCAAGUUCUUGAGCAAUUAAAGGGUAAAUUGUGGUUUACCGUCAAGUAUGUUUCUCCUGGUGAACUUUUGGAAGCUAGACCAGUAGCGGAGAGGCUACAUCAUCUCUAUAUAUAAGAUUAAGGCUGAGAAGGCACGAGGUAUUUCUUUGGGUGCCUACCAGAAGGGAAAUGAUGAAGAUAGAACACUUGUCGACCUCAGGGAAAUGAGCAAACAAAUGUCAGGUCCCCAUGUUAUUUAUACAGCAGGAGCUGCUACCUGGUGUUGUCACGUUCCUGUUCCUUGGCAGUUAGUUGGUCAGUUGAUGACUGGACUGGUGUUGACAUGCUUAAGUAUACCACAAAGCAUCCAACAGUAAUGUGGCAAGUUAUAUAUCCAUGUGUUGUCAGUGUUAACUCUCUUAUCACUCAAGAUGAUUCAAUUGACUUUCAUCCUUGAGGACAAGGAUGUUUUCAAGAGGAGUGGAACAUCAUGUACCCGCUAUUGUAUUGGAGUGACCAUAUCCUAUUAGUGUCAGUAUCUAGUAUAAGUUGUUGGUGGUAGUAUUUAACUCAAAGAGUGAGUGCGUUUAUCAAUUGUAAGGAUGAAUUAGAUGUAACCAUCUGGUGGGAUUAUUACCGUAAGAUGUUAUCUAGGUUAGACUGUUUCUAGAUUUAUAAGCGAAAGACUCUGUAAUGAAGAGUUUAUCAAAUUAUUAAUCAAAUUGGAACUUUGUUCUUA